UCAGCCCAUGACACCUUGCUUAGCCACACCCUCAAGGGACUUCAGCAGUGAUAAACAUUAAGCUAUAAGUGAAAACUUGACUUAGUUAAAGCUAAAAGAGCCGGUAAAACUCGUGCCAGCCACCGCGGUUAUACGAGAGGCUCAAGUUGAUAGACAACGGCGUAAAGAGUGGUUAAGGAGCCCAUUAAAACUAAAGCCGAACGCCCUCAGAACUGUUAUACGUUUCCGAAGGUAAGAAGCCCCACUACGAAAGUGACUUUACUCCCCCUGACCCCACGAAAGCUGCGAAACAAACUGGGAUUAGAUACCCCAUUAUGCCCAGCCCUAAACUUUGAUAGUUUAUUACACCCACUAUCCGCCAGGGUACUACGAGCAUUAGCUUAAAACCCAAAGGACUUGGCGGUGCUUUACAUCCACCUAGAGGAGCCUGUUCUAGAACCGAUAACCCCCGUUAAACCUCACCCUCCCUUGUUUUUUCC
RNAcentral lists this ribosomal RNA (479 nucleotides) under Abudefduf notatus (yellowtail sergeant). RNAcentral's name for it is "partial 12S rRNA". It matches the Rfam family "Bacterial small subunit ribosomal RNA", at positions 300 to 991 of the family's 1533-position model. The record is from RNAcentral. Lineage: Eukaryota; Metazoa; Chordata; Actinopteri; Pomacentridae.